This is a long non-coding RNA of Myotis lucifugus (little brown bat), 518 nucleotides long. RefSeq lists it as uncharacterized. The transcript has 3 exons. The record is from RefSeq and is a predicted model, not a curated record. Lineage: Eukaryota; Metazoa; Chordata; Mammalia; Chiroptera; Vespertilionidae.
CGGCUUUUCAUCUUUAUUGGUGAAAGGAUGUGCAUCGACCCUUCCGGCCCGGCCGCCCCGCGGUUGUCUGUGUCCGUGGGCGACGCGUGUGUGCCUACGAGGUCUCUGACUGAUGACUCCCCUCCCCGCCUGCAGGCUGUGCCCGCUUCUGCGCCUCUGGGUCUGUUCUGUUCAGCAGCUGAUUUUGUUCCUCAGAGUCCACGUCUGAGGGCGAUCGUGGGAUAUUGUCUUUCUCUGACGCCGACUUGGCUUCCGCACGUGUUCACGGCUUCGGGCUCCGAGGGAAGCGGCUGCGCCCUGCCCCGCUCCCAUUCCUUGCAGUCUCUUUUGUAGAUGUGAGUGACCGGUGAAAAGCAGAUAGAAGCCAACGGGUGUGGCUUCCAGGAAAACGCUUUAAAGGUCCCGGCUCAGCUGCUCGCCGUUGGAUCCUCGGAGUGCUUGGCUCCAGGCUGGAUGGCGACCAGGCUUAGUUGACUGGCUGUGAUCACCCGUGGCGGCGUGGCGUGGGAGGAGCAAAG